GAUGAAGAACGCAGUGAAAUGCGAUAAGUAAUGUGAAUUGCAGAAUUCAGUGAAUCAUCGAAUCUUUGAACGCACAUUGCGCCCGCCAGUAUUCUGGCGGGCAUGCCUGUUCGAGCGUCAUUUCAACCAUCAAGCCCCAGGCUUGUGUUGGGGUCCUGCGGCUGCCGCAGGCCCUGAAAAACAGUGGCGGGCUCGCUGUCACACCGAGCGUAGUAAUACAUCUCGCUUUGGACGUGCGGCGGGUUCUUGCCGUUAAACACCCCCCUUCUCAAGGUUGACCUCGGAUCAGGUAGGAAUACCCGCUGAACUUAAGCAUAUCAUAAGCGGAGGA
RNAcentral lists this unclassified non-coding RNA (331 nucleotides) under soil metagenome. RNAcentral's name for it is "partial contains 5.8S ribosomal RNA, internal transcribed spacer 2, and large subunit ribosomal RNA". The stretch from base 1 to 120 matches the Rfam family "5.8S ribosomal RNA", at positions 35 to 154 of the family's 154-position model. The record is from RNAcentral.